UACGUAGGGUGCAAGCGUUAAUCGGAAUUACUGGGCGUAAAGCGUGCGCAGGCGGUUAGGUAAGACAGGUGUGAAAUCCCCGGGCUUAACCUGGGAACUGCAUUUGAGACUGCAUAGCUAGAGUACGGCAGAGGGGGAUGGAAUUCCGCGUGUAGCAGUGAAAUGCGUAGAUAUGCGGAGGAACACCGAUGGCGAAGGCAAUCCCCUGGGCCUGUACUGACGCUCAUGCACGAAAGCGUGGGGAGCAAACAGG
RNAcentral lists this ribosomal RNA (253 nucleotides) under uncultured bacterium. Its description in RNAcentral is "partial 16S ribosomal RNA". It matches the Rfam family "Bacterial small subunit ribosomal RNA", at positions 524 to 776 of the family's 1533-position model. The record is from RNAcentral.